AGUGAACGCUGGCGGUAGGCCUAACACAUGCAAGUCGAACGGCAGCACAGUAAGAGCUUGCUCUUACGGGUGGCGAGUGGCGGACGGGUGAGGAAUACAUCGGAAUCUACUUUUUCGUGGGGGAUAACGUAGGGAAACUUACGCUAAUACCGCAUACGACCUACGGGUGAAAGCAGGGGAUCUUCGGACCUUGCGCGAUUGAAUGAGCCGAUGUCGGAUUAGCUAGUUGGCGGGGUAAAGGCCCACCAAGGCGACGAUCCGUAGCUGGUCUGAGAGGAUGAUCAGCCACACUGGAACUGAGACACGGUCCAGACUCCUACGGGAGGCAGCAGUGGGGAAUAUUGGACAAUGGGCGCAAGCCUGAUCCAGCCAUACCGCGUAGGUGAAGAAGGCCUUCUGGUUGUAAAGCCCUUUUGUUGGGAAAGAAAAGCAGCAGGUUAAUACCCCGCUGUUCUGACGGUACCCAAAGAAUAAGCACCGGCUAACUUCGUG
Molecule: ribosomal RNA, 492 nt
Filed under: uncultured bacterium
Lineage: Bacteria
Description: partial 16S ribosomal RNA
Rfam family: Bacterial small subunit ribosomal RNA
Source: RNAcentral